UCGAGAAUCUUCGGCAAUGGACGCAAGUCUGACCGAGCGACGCCGCGUGCGGGAUGAAGGUCUUCGGAUUGUAAACCGCUGUCAGAGGGGAUGAAGUGUACGGGAGUUAUCUCCCGUAUUUGACAGAGCCUCAGAGGAAGCACGGGCUAAGUUCGUGCCAGCAGCCGCGGUAAUACGAACUGUGCGAACGUUAUUCGGAAUCACUGGGCUUAAAGGGUGCGUAGGCGGCUGCCUAAGUCAGAUGUGAAAUCUCUCGGCUCAACCGGGAAACUGCGCUUGAUACUGGGCGGCUCGAGUGAGGUAGGGGUGUGUGGAACUUCCGGUGGAGCGGUGAAAUGUGUAGAUAUCGGAAGGAACGCCAGCAGCGAAAGCGGCACACUGGGCCUUUUCUGACGCUGAGGCACGAAAGCCAGGGGAGCGAACGG
Molecule: ribosomal RNA, 425 nt
Filed under: uncultured bacterium
Lineage: Bacteria
Description: bacterial SSU rRNA
Rfam family: Bacterial small subunit ribosomal RNA
Source: RNAcentral